UACAGAGGGGGCGAGCGUUGUUCGGAAUUACUGGGCGUAAAGGGCGCGUAGGCGGCCUUCUAAGUCGAACGUGAAAUCCCCGGGCUCAACCCGGGAACUGCGUCCGAUACUGGGAGGCUUGAAUCCGGGAGAGGGAUGUGGAAUUCCAGGUGUAGCGGUGAAAUGCGUAGAUAUCUGGAGGAACACCGGUGGCGAAGGCGGCAUCCUGGACCGGUAUUGACGCUGAGGCGCGAAAGCGUGGGGAGCAAACAGG
Molecule: ribosomal RNA, 253 nt
Filed under: uncultured bacterium
Lineage: Bacteria
Description: partial 16S ribosomal RNA
Rfam family: Bacterial small subunit ribosomal RNA
Source: RNAcentral